UACGUAGGGUGCAAGCGUUGUCCGGAAUUAUUGGGCGUAAAGAGCUCGUAGGCGGUUUGUCGCGUCGAAUGUGAAAACCCGGGGCUCAACCCCGGGCCUGCAUUCGAUACGGGCAGACUAGAGUUCGGUAGGGGAGAUCGGAAUUCCUGGUGUAGCGGUGAAAUGCGCAGAUAUCAGGAGGAACACCGGUGGCGAAGGCGGAUCUCUGGGCCAUUACUGACGCUGAGGAGCGAAAGCGUGGGGAGCGAACAGG
This 253-nucleotide ribosomal RNA is filed under the name uncultured bacterium. Its description in RNAcentral is "partial 16S ribosomal RNA". It matches the Rfam family "Bacterial small subunit ribosomal RNA", at positions 524 to 776 of the family's 1533-position model. The record is from RNAcentral.